ACAAAUGUCAAAAUCUAAGAUCAAUAGAUUUGACACAUGUCACAAUCUUAUGAGUUACUAACUUUGAAAACAA
This 73-nucleotide small RNA is filed under the name Arabidopsis thaliana (thale cress). RNAcentral's name for it is "ATSL183970". Lineage: Eukaryota; Viridiplantae; Streptophyta; Magnoliopsida; Brassicales; Brassicaceae. The record is from RNAcentral.